GAGUUUGAUCCUGGCUCAGAACGAACGUUAGCGGCGCGCUUAACACAUGCAAGUCGAGCGAGAAAGGGGCAACCCCGGUAAAGCGGCGCACGGGUGAGUAACACGUAGGUAAUCUACCCCCAGGUGGUGGAUAACCUUCCGAAAGGAAGGCUAAUACAGCAUGGGACCACGACUCCGAAAGGGGUUGAGGUGAAAGUCGGCCUCUUCCUGAAAGCCGACGCCAGGGGAUGAGCCUGCGGCCCAUCAGCUAGUUGGUAGGGUAAUGGCCUACCAAGGCGAAGACGGGUAGCUGGUCUGAGAGGAUGAUCAGCCUCACUGGAACUGAGACACGGUCCAGACUCCUACGGGAGGCAGCAGUGGGGAAUCUUGCGCAAUGGGCGAAAGCCUGACGCAGCGACGCCGCGUGAGUGAUGAAGGCCCUCGGGUUGUAAAGCUCUGUGGAGGGGGACGAAUAAGCGUUGGUCAAUACCCAGCGUGAUGACGGUACCCUUUUAGCAAGCACCGGCUAACUCUGUGCCAGCAGCCGCGGUAA
This 532-nucleotide ribosomal RNA is filed under the name uncultured bacterium. RNAcentral describes it as "bacterial SSU rRNA". It matches the Rfam family "Bacterial small subunit ribosomal RNA", at positions 9 to 523 of the family's 1533-position model. The record is from RNAcentral.